GAUGAACGCUGGCGGCGUGCCUAAUACAUGCAAGUCGAGCGAACGGACGAGAAGCUUGCUUCUCUGAUGUUAGCGGCGGACGGGUGAGUAACACGUGGAUAACCUACCUAUAAGACUGGGAUAACUUCGGGAAACCGGUGCUAAUACCGGAUAAUAUUUUGAACCGCAUGGUUCAAAAGUGAAAGACGGUCUUGCUGUCACUUAUAGAUGGAUCCGCGCUGCAUUAGCUAGUUGGUAAGGUAACGGCUUACCAAGGCAACGAUGCAUAGCCGACCUGAGAGGGUGAUCGGCCACACUGGAACUGAGACACGGUCCAGACUCCUACGGUAGGCAGCAGUAGGGAAUCUUCCGCGAUGGGCGAGUGCCUGAUGGUGCAACGCCGCGUGAGUGAUGAAGGUCUUCGGAUCGUAAAGCUCUGUUAUUAGGGAAGUACAUAUGUGUAAGUAACUGUGCACAUCUUGACGGUACCUAAUCAGAAAGCCACGGCUAACUACGUG
Molecule: ribosomal RNA, 497 nt
Filed under: uncultured bacterium
Lineage: Bacteria
Description: partial 16S ribosomal RNA
Rfam family: Bacterial small subunit ribosomal RNA
Source: RNAcentral